Molecule: unclassified non-coding RNA, 298 nt
Filed under: Hevea brasiliensis (rubber tree)
Lineage: Eukaryota; Viridiplantae; Streptophyta; Magnoliopsida; Malpighiales; Euphorbiaceae
Source: RNAcentral
UGGAAUUCAAAAAAAAAUGGUUACAGUCCAUUUAGAAUUGGAAAUUUAAGAGAAAUGAUGUUGCAGGACCAAAUACAUUCAAAGUAUUAUGAAUUAAACACGCUUCAUUUUAGAGGAAUUUUAUAAGAAAUUAUUUCCAUAAUAUUUGCAUCAUAAAUUAUAAGGUGAUCAUUUUCAAGUAUCAGAUAUGAAGGGACAGCAUAACAACAUGAUUCACAACUCAGACAAAUACUUCAAAUAUCAGAUAGCAACUUUGUCGAUUUGGUGAAAUUUGACCAGCUUUAAAAUUUGCAAGAAA